GUUGAAACACCGGUCCCCGCAAGAUCAUCGAAGUUAAGCAAUGUCAAACCUGAUCAGUACUUUGAUGAGUGACCGCUUGGGAAUACCAGAUGCU
Acanthosepion pharaonis is the source of this 94-nucleotide non-coding RNA. NCBI's taxonomy places the organism in Eukaryota, Metazoa, Mollusca, Cephalopoda, Sepiida, Sepiidae. The record is from the annotation of a GenBank genome assembly.